RNAcentral lists this ribosomal RNA (1369 nucleotides) under metagenome. RNAcentral's name for it is "bacterial SSU rRNA". It matches the Rfam family "Bacterial small subunit ribosomal RNA", at positions 35 to 1395 of the family's 1533-position model. The record is from RNAcentral.
GCUGGCGGCAGGCUUAACACAUGCAAGUCGAGCGGUAACAGGAGAGAGCUUGCUUUCUCGCUGACGAGCGGCGGACGGGUGAGUAAUGCCUGGGAAAUUGCCCUGAUGUGGGGGAUAACCAUUGGAAACGAUGGCUAAUACCGCAUAGAAGCUACGGCUUAAAGAGGGGGACCUUCGGGCCUCUCGCGUCAGGAUAUGCCCAGGUGGGAUUAGCUAGUUGGUGGGGUAAAGGCUCACCAAGGCAACGAUCUCUAGCUGGUCUGGGAGGAUGAUCAGCCACACUGGAACUGAGACACGGUCCAGACUCCUACGGGAGGCAGCAGUGGGGAAUAUUGCACAAUGGGCGCAAGCCUGAUGCAGCCAUGCCGCGUGUAUGAGGAAGGCCUUCGGGUUGUAAAGUACUUACAGUGGUGAGGAAGGUUAUGUAUUUAAUAGAUGCAUAGCUUGACGUUAGCCACAGAAGAAGCACCGGCUAACUCCGUGCCAGCAGCCGCGGUAAUACGGAGGGUGCGAGCGUUAAUCGGAAUUACUGGGCGUAAAGCGCACGCAGGUGGUCUGUUAAGUCAGAUGUGAAAGCCCGGGGCUUAACCUCGGAAUAGCAUUUGAAACUGUCAGACUAGAGUACUGUAGAGGGGGGUAGAAUUUCAGGUGUAGCGGUGAAAUGCGUAGAGAUCUGAAGGAAUACCGGUGGCGAAGGCGGCCCCCUGGACAGAUACUGACACUCAGAUGCGAAAGCGUGGGGAGCAAACAGGAUUAGAUACCCUGGUAGUCCACGCCGUAAACGAUGUCUACUUGGAGGUUGUGGCCUUGAGCCGUGGCUUUCGGAGCUAACGCGUUAAGUAGACCGCCUGGGGAGUACGGUCGCAAGUUUAAAACUCAAAUGAAUUGACGGGGGCCCGCACAAGCGGUGGAGCAUGUGGUUUAAUUCGAUGCAACGCGAAGAACCUUACCUACUCUUGACAUCUACAGAAGCUUGCGGAGACGCGAGUGUGCCUUCGGGAACUGUAGACAGGUGCUGCAUGGCUGUCGUCAGCUCGUGUUGUGAAAUGUUGGGUUAAGUCCCGCAACGAGCGCAACCCUUAUCCCUGUUUGCCAGCACGUAAUGGUGGGAACUCCAGGGAGACUGCCGGUGAUAAACCGGAGGAAGGGGGGACGACGUCAAGUCAUCAUGGCCCUUACGAGUAGGGCUACACACGUGCUACAAUGGCACAUACAGAGGGCAGCCAACUUGCAAAAGUGAGCGAAUCCCAAAAAGUGUGUCGUAGUCCGGAUCGGAGUCUGCAACUCGACUCCGUGAAGUCGGAAUCGCUAGUAAUCGUGGAUCAGAAUGCCACGGUGAAUACGUUCCCGGGCCUUGUACACACCGCCC